RNAcentral lists this transfer RNA (75 nucleotides) under Mus musculus (house mouse). RNAcentral describes it as "tRNA-Ala". The record is from RNAcentral. Lineage: Eukaryota; Metazoa; Chordata; Mammalia; Rodentia; Muridae.
UUGGGGAUUUAGCUCAGUGGUAGAGCGCACGCCUAGCAAGCGCAAGACCCUGGGUUCGGUCCUCAGCUCUGGAAA